GAAAUAUUGCAGCUUAACUGUAACAGUGCCGUUGAUACUGUAGAGCUAGGAUUAGGUUGCUGUGGGCGGAAUGUGUGGUGUAGCGGUGAAAUGCUUAGAGAUCACACAGAAUAUCGAUUGCGAAGGCAGCUCACAAAGCCUAAAUUGACGCUGAGGCACGAAAGUGUGGGGAUCGAACAGGAUUAGAUACCCUGGUAGUCCACACUGUAAACGAUGAUAACUCGCUGUCGGCGAUAUACAGUCGGUGGCCAAGCGAAAGCGAUAAGUUAUCCACCUGGGGAGUACGACCGCAAGGUUGAAACUCAAAGGAAUUGACGGGGGCCCGCACAAGCGGAGGAACAUGUGGUUUAAUUCGAUGAUACGCGAGGAACCUUACCCGGGCUCGAACGGUGCAUGAAUGUCAGAGAGAUUUGACAGUCCUUCGGGACAUGUAUCGAGGUGCUGCAUGGUUGUCGUCAGCUCGUGCCGUGAGGUGUCGGCUUAAGUGCCAUAACGAGCGCAACCCUUGUUGACAGUUACCAUCAGGUAAAGCUGGGGACUCUGUCGAGACUGCCACCGUAAGGUGUGAGGAAGGGGGGGAUGACGUCAAAUCAGCACGGCCCCUAUGUCCGGGGCGACACACGUGUUACAAUGGGAGGUACAGAGGGCAGCUAUCCAGUGAUGGAGUGCAAAUCUCAAAACCUUUCUCAGUUCGGAUUGGAGUCUGCAACUCGACUCCAUGAAGUUGGAUUCGCUAGUAAUCGCGCAUCAGCCAUGGCGCGGUGAAUACGUUCCCGGGCCUUGUACACACCGCCCGUCAAGCCAUGGAAGCUUGGGUGCUUGAAGUUCGUGACCGCAGAGCGACCUA
RNAcentral lists this ribosomal RNA (847 nucleotides) under uncultured bacterium. Its description in RNAcentral is "bacterial SSU rRNA". It matches the Rfam family "Bacterial small subunit ribosomal RNA", at positions 596 to 1459 of the family's 1533-position model. The record is from RNAcentral.